CGCGUAGGCGGUUUGGUAAGUUUGAUGUGAAAGCCCUGGGCUUAACCCGGGAACUGCAUUGGAUACUGCCAGACUAGAGUGUUGUAGGGGAUGAUGGAAUUAUGCAUGGAGAGGUGGAAUUCAUAGAUAUGCAUAGGAACACCAGUAGCGAAGGCGAUCAUCUGGACAACAACUGACGUUGAGGCGCGAAAGCGUGGGGAGCAAACA
This 207-nucleotide ribosomal RNA is filed under the name uncultured bacterium. RNAcentral describes it as "partial 16S ribosomal RNA". It matches the Rfam family "Bacterial small subunit ribosomal RNA", at positions 568 to 774 of the family's 1533-position model. The record is from RNAcentral.